GCCCCCAUCGUCUAGAGGCCCAGGACAUCUCUCUUUCAAGGAGGCGACGGGGAUUCGAAUUCCCCUGGGGGUA
This 73-nucleotide transfer RNA is filed under the name Plenasium vachellii. Its description in RNAcentral is "tRNA-Glu". It matches the Rfam family "tRNA". Rfam says of the family: Transfer RNA (tRNA) molecules are approximately 80 nucleotides in length. Their secondary structure includes four short double-helical elements and three loops (D, anti-codon, and T loops). The record is from RNAcentral. Lineage: Eukaryota; Viridiplantae; Streptophyta; Polypodiopsida; Osmundales; Osmundaceae. RNAcentral also lists the same sequence under 2 other names.